RNAcentral lists this ribosomal RNA (518 nucleotides) under uncultured bacterium. RNAcentral's name for it is "partial 16S ribosomal RNA". It matches the Rfam family "Bacterial small subunit ribosomal RNA", at positions 28 to 523 of the family's 1533-position model. The record is from RNAcentral.
GACGAACGCUGGCGGCGUGCUUAACACAUGCGAGUCGAACGGAGAAUUUAUUUCGGUAAAUUCUUAGUGGCGAACGGGUGAGUAACGCGUGGGCAACCUGCCCUUCAGAUGGGGACAACAUCCCGAAAGGGGUGCUAAUACCGAAUACGAUCACGCUGCCGCAUGGCGGUGUGAUGAAAGAUGGCCUCUAUUUAUAAGCUAUCGCUGAAGGAUGGGCCUGCGUCUGAUUAGCUAGUUGGUGGGGUAACGGCCUACCAAGGCGAUGAUCAGUAGACGGUCUGAGAGGAUGAACGGCCACAUUGGGACUGAGACACGGCCCAAACUCCUACGGGAGGCAGCAGUGGGGAAUAUUCCGCAAUGGACGAAAGUCUGACGGAGCAACGCCGCGUGAGUGAUGAAGGUUUUCGGACUGUAAAACUCUGUUGUUUAGGACGAAAGUGCCUGUUGCAAAUAGUUGCAGGUAUUGACGGUACUGAACGAGGAAGCCACGGCUAACUACGUGCCAGCCGCCGCAGUAA